This 565-nucleotide ribosomal RNA is filed under the name uncultured Glomeromycotina. RNAcentral's name for it is "SSU rRNA". It matches the Rfam family "Eukaryotic small subunit ribosomal RNA", at positions 548 to 1114 of the family's 1831-position model. Lineage: Eukaryota; Fungi; Glomeromycota. The record is from RNAcentral.
UUGGAGGGCAAGUCUGGUGCCAGCAGCCGCGGUAAUUCCAGCUCCAAUAGCGUAUAUUAAAGUUGUUGCAGUUAAAAAACUCGUAGUUGAAUUUCGGGAUCAAUUAAUUGGUCGUGCCUCUGGUACGUACUGAUUUUAUUGGUCUCUCCCUUCUGACGAACCAUGAUGUCAUUAAUUUGGUGUCGUGGAGAAUCAGGACUGUUACCUUGAAAAAAUUAGAGUGUUUAAAGCAAGCUAACGCUUGAAUACAUUAGCAUGGAAUAAUGAAAUAGGACGUUUGACCCUAUUUUGUUGGUUUCUGGGAUCGACGUAAUGAUUAAUAGGGAUAGUUGGGGGCAUUAGUAUUCAAUUGUCAGGGGUGAAAUUCUUGGAUUUAUUGAAGACUAACUACUGCGAAAGCAUUUGCCAAGGAUGUUUUCAUUAAUCAAGAACGAAAGUUAGGGGAUCGAAGACGAUCAGAUACCGUCGUAGUCUUAACCAUAAACUAUGCCGACUAGGGAUCGGAUGAUGUUAAUUUUUUAAUGACUCAUUCGGCGCCUUACGGGAAACCAAAGUGUUUGGGUUC